UUACCUACCCUUGACAUGUCCGGAACUUGCCAGAGAUGGCUUGGUGCCGAAAGGGAAUCGGAACACAGGUGCUGCAUGGCUGUCGUCAGCUCGUGUCGUGAGAUGUUGGGUUAAGUCCCGCAACGAGCGCAACCCUUAUCAUUAGUUGCUACGCAAGGGCACUCUAAUGAGACUGCCGGUGACAAACCGGAGGAAGGUGGGGAUGACGUCAAGUCCUCAUGGCCCUUAUGGGUAGGGCUUCACACGUCAUACAAUGGUCGGUACAGAGGGUUGCCAAGCCGCGAGGCGGAGCCAAUCCCACAAAGCCGAUCGUAGUCCGGAUUGUUCUCUGCAACUCGAGAGCAUGAAGUCGGAAUCGCUAGUAAUCGCAGGUCAGCAUACUGCGGUGAAUACCGUUCCCGGGUCUU
RNAcentral lists this ribosomal RNA (407 nucleotides) under uncultured Thiobacillus sp. Its description in RNAcentral is "bacterial SSU rRNA". It matches the Rfam family "Bacterial small subunit ribosomal RNA", at positions 971 to 1382 of the family's 1533-position model. The record is from RNAcentral. Lineage: Bacteria; Pseudomonadati; Pseudomonadota; Betaproteobacteria; Nitrosomonadales; Thiobacillaceae.